Long non-coding RNA from Danio rerio (zebrafish), 1847 nucleotides. The record is from Ensembl. Lineage: Eukaryota; Metazoa; Chordata; Actinopteri; Cypriniformes; Danionidae.
AUGAAAGCCACGCCUCUUUUGCCUCUGACGUCGUGCUGUCAAUCAUUCUGCUAUUCGACGAACAACUUUAUCAUCGGCGGAUCAAGCACCAUAAAAAAGAUGACCAGCUCAAGUCAAAGUGACUUUGACCUCAUUGCCACGCAAGAGAUCAACGUUAUCAUGAAUAGGAUUGAAACAUUUCUUGUGUGCCAAAUUGACGAGUUACGUCAAUCGCAAAAAACCCUCAGAGAAGCAACUGAGGCCUUGACAAAAGACCUACCCGCUGUCCAGAGAGAGCUGUCUGUCCUCAAAUAUACUAUCAAAGACCAGGGGAGGGACUUGGAGCAACUCAAGCUAGCGACAGAGGCAACCGACAGACCCAACAACAGCACCAAGGACAACAGUGCCUACAAAAGAUAUACUGGAAGCGCCAACGGCGACAGCGACAGAGAAAAUAAAAGACCCGCCGAUGAUAGACCCGACGACAGCACCGAAAGAUCCAUCGACUAUGACGCCAACGAAGACAGCAGUGACAGCGACAGCAGUGCCAGCGACAGCAGUGCCAGCGACGAAAGCGCCACUGAAGAGAGCGAGAACAGCGACGUUGUAGUCGUGGAGCCAGCAGAUGCCCAAACUAAGAAGGAUGAGGAGGAGCUGGACGAUCUCCUUAAGAAAUUCUGGCCACAAAAAAAAAACUGCAGGGAAAAAUUAGAUGAAAGGCAACAGGCCUUUUUUUCCUUAAUGGCGACGGAGCUGAACAUUAAAGAUAGGACCAACAUCAAAAUGAAUGCGAUGAGAAUAAUCCAACAGGGUAUUCGAAAAGGCGUGUGGCAAAAGAGCUGGAAACCUCCUGGAAUAAAACACAGUUUUGAGGAAUACAUAGUGGAAAAAAUCAAAACAUAUAUUAAAAAAACCCGCAAGAGUGACACUUGAGAACAUUCUUUUUUCUUCUUUUAUUUGUUUAUAGAAGUGUAGUUCCGAUUAGUUUUUUAGAUUUGCAUGCUGUUCUCCUGUUCUCUCUCUCUCUCUCUCUCUCUCACAGACACACACACACACAAACACACACAGACACACACACACACACACACACACACACACACACACACACACACACACACACACACACACACACACACACAAAGUGUUAAUAAAUUAUUUAAAAUUUUUGAUGUUGUUUUAAGGUGUGUUAUUAAAUUGCUACUGUGUCUGCAUUUUAUGUUAUUUACGUGUGUGUGUGUGUGUGUGUGUGUGUGUGUGUGUGUGUGUGUGUGUGUGUGUGUGUGUGUGUGUGUGUGUGUCUGUGUGUGUUUGUGUGUGUGUGUGUGUGUGUGUGUGUGUGUGUGUGUGUGUGUGUGUGUGCGUGCGUGUGUGUGUGUGUGUCUGUGUGUGUGUGUGUGUGUGUGUGUGUUGCUUCAGUGUGCAUGUGGAGAAAGUUUUCAGAUUCUUUCUUCCACAUUUGAUUGAGAAGUGUGUCUGAGGGGUGAAGGAUGGUCAUUUAAAUCUGUGACAAUGCAACAUUUCUUCACAUGCACAACUCAACUAAGCAAUCCUCAAAUGUAUUUUAUUUAAUUAUUUAUUUGCACAAGGAAACAUCUCAUCCUCCAUCACAAUUACUGUUGGUGUCCAGUCAACGUGCAGCAUUUGAUCAACAUUUCAUUAAUGUCAAAAUAGUUCCUAGCGAUCAAAGUACUGGAGGUAAAAAUGUCUUCAGCAAGACAGUAUUGAUAAAAGUUAAAGAAGAAGUUUUUUGUUUGUACUUGUGUGCGUUUUCACAUUUCAUGCAAUAUAAAAUGCUUAUUUUUUUUAAGGUUGCAGUUACUUUAGAACAAUUCAUCAUACUUAUGUAUCAUAUAAAACAGCUUGUCUUU